Molecule: ribosomal RNA, 253 nt
Filed under: uncultured bacterium
Lineage: Bacteria
Description: partial 16S ribosomal RNA
Rfam family: Bacterial small subunit ribosomal RNA
Source: RNAcentral
UACAGAGGGUGCAAGCGUUGUUCGGAAUUAUUGGGCGUAAAGGGCGCGUAGGCGGUGCGGUAAGUCUGUAGUGAAAUCUCUGGGCUCAACUCAGAGUCUGCUGCAGAAACUGCCGUGCUUGAGUGUGGGAGAGGUGAGUGGAAUUCCCGGUGUAGCGGUGAAAUGCGUAGAUAUCAGGAGGAACACCUGUGGCGAAAGCGGCUCACUGGACCACAACUGACGCUGAGGCGCGAAAGCUAGGGGAGCAAACAGG